ACUCCUACGGGAGGCAGCAGUGAGGAAUAUUGCGCAAUGGGGGAAACCCUGACGCAGCGAUGCCGCGUGAGUGAAGAAGGCCUUCGGGUCGUAAAGCUCUGUCAAGUGGGAAGAACAGCUUUGGGACGAAUAAUCUCGAGGCCUGACGGUACCACUGAAGGAAGCACCGGCUAACUCCGUGCCAGCAGCCGCGGUAAGACGGAGGGUGCAAGCGUUAUUYGGAUUUAUUGGGCGUAAAGAGUGUGUAGGCGGCCGGUCAAGCCAGAUGUGAAAGCCCAGGGCUUAACCCUGGAAGUGCAUUUGGAACUGGUUGGCUUGAGUUCGGGAGAGGGAAGUGGAAUUCCGGGUGUAGAGGUGAAAUUCGUAGAUAUCCGGAGGAACACCGGUGGCGAAGGCGACUUCCUGGACCGAAACUGACGCUGAGACACGAAAGCGUGGGGAGCAAACAGGAUUGGAUACCCUGGUAGUCCACGCUGUAAACGAUGGGCGCUAGGUGUGGGGGGUUUUUAAUCCCUCCGUGCCGCAGCUAACGCAUUAAGCGCCCCGCCUGGGGAGUACGGCCGCAAGGUUAAAACUCAAAUGAAUUGACGG
RNAcentral lists this ribosomal RNA (591 nucleotides) under uncultured Syntrophaceae bacterium. RNAcentral's name for it is "bacterial SSU rRNA". It matches the Rfam family "Bacterial small subunit ribosomal RNA", at positions 335 to 916 of the family's 1533-position model. Lineage: Bacteria; Pseudomonadati; Thermodesulfobacteriota; Syntrophia; Syntrophales; Syntrophaceae. The record is from RNAcentral.